CGCUGACCGGAGGUGGCUCCGACGGGGAUCCUCCGACGGUCAAGUCAGAGAGGAGACUAGGCAACAGUGAAAAGAAAACAAGGAGCUCAACGAGAGAGAGCUAAAGAAGAGGGGUUCAGGGAUUUCGAAUGGACCUCUAGCACUGUUGCCUUCCCCGAUAUAUAUAGUGGAGCAUGGUAUGGCGCUGUCAUUAAUGGCGCG
Molecule: long non-coding RNA, 201 nt
Filed under: Elaeis guineensis (African oil palm)
Lineage: Eukaryota; Viridiplantae; Streptophyta; Magnoliopsida; Arecales; Arecaceae
Description: long non-coding RNA (EGUI_LNC024027)
Source: RNAcentral